CUGGCGAGAUAAUACCUUCUCUGCAGCCGCAUUACCCCGGGGACCGGCUAUUUUGGAAGUGGGAAGUGUGGGGUGAAGGGACCCGGGGUUCCUCCCUUCUACGUCCCCCUAGAGCCGGACCCUGCGCGCCCGAGAACCACGAGGGCCAGGGAGGCACCUCAGCGCCGGGGGUGGGGGCGUGGGGCCUGCGCGCCAGCUCUGCCAGACGUGCGGGGCGGCUCCACACGUGCCGCGGAGGCCGGGACAGGACUCUCCUCCCCACCCCCCAGCCUCGAGCUCAGAGAAGGAAGUCGAGGUUCAGAGUCCGACCUAGGCCUCAGUCAAGAGCUCGGACUCCCUGGGCGUUCGCCUCGCCUUGCCACUCACCGUGGAAGGCCGGGGGUCCCGGCAGCUCGCCCUGCCUUCACCCGGCCGUGUGUCCAGGCCUCGGGUUCUAGUUCCGUGAAAAGUAUCGGCCCUCCAGCCCUGGGAGCGGAGAAAGGGCCCUGUGCUGCGAAGCCGCUGGAAAGUAUAGGCGCUGCCCAGUCCUCCUCAAAGGCCCGUCUCAGGUCAGCGCUGGCACCUGGGCUGCGAGCUCCUCUUAAGCCGGGCUUCUGACCCUCCUUUGUUCCACGGACCCUUUGCCUGGCAAGGGAAAACCACGUACCCCUUACAAAGUCCACACUACACUGUGUUAUUCAAUAAAUAUAUCACUCCCGCACCAACCCGUA
Molecule: long non-coding RNA, 710 nt
Filed under: Dasypus novemcinctus (nine-banded armadillo)
Lineage: Eukaryota; Metazoa; Chordata; Mammalia; Cingulata; Dasypodidae
Description: lncRNA (ENSDNOG00000050090.1)
Source: RNAcentral